UGGGCUGGUAGUGCAGGCGCAGCUCACCGUUCUCCAGGGCGGCACGCAGGUCGGACUCGAGUUCCAGGCGCUCGACCAGGCCGUC
RNAcentral lists this transfer RNA (85 nucleotides) under Actinoplanes campanulatus. RNAcentral's name for it is "tRNA-Pro". Lineage: Bacteria; Bacillati; Actinomycetota; Actinomycetes; Micromonosporales; Micromonosporaceae. The record is from RNAcentral.